UCCUCAACUACUGUGCGGAAUUUAUACACAAACACAAAAUAGCAACUUUUUCAGCAGUAUCACUUCGAAAACACUUGUAUAUUUCCCCCCACAAAAGCUUUAAUAUUGAUGAAUCUGUGCAAGAACUGCGCAGUCAGAACAGUUAAAAUAUUUGAAAGGCAUUUUAAAAAUAAUCUCAGCAAGUACAAAAAUUUUAUAUUUGAUUGAAAUUUGUCUUCUAACAACACAAGACGCUAUUCCAAGUAUGUUUUGCACAGAUCCUCAACA
Molecule: long non-coding RNA, 267 nt
Organism: Thalassophryne amazonica
Lineage: Eukaryota; Metazoa; Chordata; Actinopteri; Batrachoidiformes; Batrachoididae
Exons: 2
Source: RefSeq, a predicted model, not a curated record